CUGUCGAGCUUGCUCACAGGCACAUCCAUAUCCAUAACACCUGUGCACUUCGUCGGAUGGCUUAGUGAAGACCGCAAGGUUGAAUCUAUCCAUCUACUUUACAUAACAAUUCUGUAACAAAUGUAGUCUUAUUAUAACAUAAUAAAACUUUCAACAACGGAUCUCUUGGCUCUCGCAUCGAUGAAGAACGCAGCGAAAUGCGAUAAGUAAUGUGAAUUGCAGAAUUCAGUGAAUCAUCGAAUCUUUGAACGCACCUUGCGCUCCUUGGUAUUCCGAGGAGCAUGCCUGUUUGAGUGUCAUGAAAACCCUCAACCCUAGAUUGGUUAAAACCUUUCUUUGGUUUGGAUUUGGACGUUUGCCGAUGAUAAGUCGGCUCGUCUUAAAAGUAAUAGCUGGAUCUGUCUCGCGACAUGGUUUGACUUGGCGUAAUAAGUAUUUCGCUAAGGACAUCUUCGGAUGGCCGCGUUGCAGGACUAAAGACCGCUUUCUAAUCCAUUGAUCUUCGGAUUAAUACUCUUGACAUCUGGCCUCAAAUCAGGUAGGACUACCCGCUGAACUUAAGCAUAUCAUA
This 571-nucleotide ribosomal RNA is filed under the name Naganishia albida. RNAcentral's name for it is "eukaryotic LSU rRNA". The stretch from base 146 to 299 matches the Rfam family "5.8S ribosomal RNA". Lineage: Eukaryota; Fungi; Basidiomycota; Tremellomycetes; Filobasidiales; Filobasidiaceae. The record is from RNAcentral.